Non-coding RNA from Triticum urartu, 873 nucleotides. Lineage: Eukaryota; Viridiplantae; Streptophyta; Magnoliopsida; Poales; Poaceae. The record is from RefSeq and is a predicted model, not a curated record.
AGAAUUUAAUCCGCGCUCUUCCAUCCCUCAACCCAGAUGCAUCUGGCGAUGCCGCCACCCCACCGCCGGCCCGUGCUCUCCCCUACCUCCGCCGGCCUCUGCCCUCUCCGCACCGGCGACUUCCCCUCUCCUACUCCCCCUUCCCUUCUGUUCCUUCCAGAUCGAGAAGGGAGGCCAUGGCGCUCCCACCGCGGCUGGAUCCAGACCAAGCCCGUGGGGUUCCAGUUCGCCUCCUCUUAGUGACCACGGCGGCGGGAUCCAUGGCCAUGGCGGUGCGAGCGAGCAGACGUAGGCGUGAGAAGAGAGGAGGCAGGCAGGGCGGCAAUGGAAUUCCCGCCGCUUCUGUUCGUCUUCCUCCACACCUCCGCUCGUGCCCGUCUUCCUCGGCGCCUAAUUCAUCACCUAGGAUGCGGCCUCCUCUCCAGUGACAGGGAUGGUAAUUUCUUUAUGAAUAGGAAGAUUGACUAGGGGAGGAUUAUGUAUUGAGGUAGGGAAAGUUGUGGUCGUGCGGCCAUAUAGGUACACCGUAGGAUGCCAAACUUAUUGAUCUAUUUUUGUGCUAAUUUUUUUCCAUCAAUGGUUGGUUUUUCUAUCAAUUGUAGAGAAAUCUCACCUUGAAGAAUGAAACAAAUGGUGAUCAAAGAUGUUCUUUCUACCAAAGAACCAGGCCGUGCUGAGGUAGUAGUGUGGUUCCGAUGAUGGUGGCGAGGCUAAAAUAAGGGAGAUGGCCUGGAGUUAUUUUAACCAUAAGUUGUGUAAUGGUGUGCACUACAAAAAAACACUUCCGUGAAGAUACGUGUUUGUCACAGUAGGUCGCAUUUUCUGUCAUGCAUGUACAUCCAUGAUGAUUUUAUGACAGAAUCAAGAUAGUCA